UUCCGUCAAGAGAGGCGUUAAACCAUAUAAAUCCCAUUUUUUAGAUUGACGUGGCACAAAAAAUGAAUUUCCUUAAAAAAAUUACUUAUUAUAAUUAUAUAAAGAAAAAAAGAAAACCUAAUCUAGAACCCUACCAACAGCCAGCUGCUCCCACCAACCCACCCCUAGCCUCAAUUCUUCAUCCCCACCAUAAGUCACAAGCCCACCUUCAUCCCAGCCACCACAUCGUACCUCAUUUGCCUUUCAAUAGCCUCCUAAUUAUAUCAUCC
This 269-nucleotide long non-coding RNA is filed under the name Prunus persica (peach). RNAcentral describes it as "long non-coding RNA (PPER_LNC004410)". Lineage: Eukaryota; Viridiplantae; Streptophyta; Magnoliopsida; Rosales; Rosaceae. The record is from RNAcentral.